GCCAGUGUGGCUCAGUGGUUGAGCAUCAACCGAUGAACCAGGAGGUCAUGGGUUCCAUUCCCAGUCAAAGGCA
Molecule: transfer RNA, 73 nt
Filed under: Myotis davidii
Lineage: Eukaryota; Metazoa; Chordata; Mammalia; Chiroptera; Vespertilionidae
Rfam family: tRNA
About the family: Transfer RNA (tRNA) molecules are approximately 80 nucleotides in length. Their secondary structure includes four short double-helical elements and three loops (D, anti-codon, and T loops).
Source: Rfam by way of RNAcentral